UGUUCUUUAUAGCUGCUAGAAGUGAGAACUUCAACUCUCAGGUCUCCUAUUGGGAGCUACCAUGGCUAACUCUAAUAACCGUUGGUCCUUCCUGUUCCUCUCUGGGAAAUGAAGGAGGGUUUCUCUUUCCCUUCCAAACCAGAGUUACAUGUAUUUUGCUUCUGGCCAGAUUCCUGUUGAUGCUCAAGUCCUGCAUGUCUUCAAAAUAGGGUAACCUUUAAUCUCUGCUGCAGAAGAGUUUGUGGAGCAUGGAGGGGAAUCAGAAUGCCACUAUUCCUUUGUCGUCAUCACAGCAUUUUUACUGACACCAUAUUCCCAUGACAGAGGAUUGGUAAGAUCACAAUUAAUCCAACAACUUAGUUCCCUUCCUUCUGUUCAGCAAUAGCUUUAUUAUUAGAUUUGUUUCCACGUGGAAAGAGAGAGUUUUUAAAUUCAAGAAAGGGAGAGAUCGGGAUUUUCAACCAGCAGUUUACAAAACGUGAACUGGUGGAGAACCAGGGUCAGUCAAUUUUUUUUUACUUCAGGUCAGGUCCUGGUUGAGCCCUAAUAAAGUUUCAGGAUUCAAAGCCACUGGGAAAAGAAGGUUCCAGACACAGAGAUUCCGGGGAUUGUUGUUGCUUACUGUGAUGGAUUUUUAGGGAUAUGACACAUGAACUUGCCAGCUGGAUAUGGCUGCCAGCUGGGCUUCAUCAAAUCAAAGGAAUAACCUGCUGUAGUUCCAUGCUUUCUUGGGAAUCCACAGAGUCUUCUGCCUCAUCAGGUAUGAAUUUAUUUUCCUUUGUCUUAUAAUAUUCAUAGAUAUGUGACCUGAUUAGGUGUUCAGAAGGCCAUAUUCCUUCUGUUAUUAAUAGACUCCUGAGAUUUCUAUAAUUUUAAGUUCCCCCUGCUCUGCGUCCCUUAGUCUUUUUUUGCUCACUUUCUGACUCCUUCCCCUUUAAUGGCAUUUCUAUGGGACUGGAGCUCAAAACUAUUUUAGCUUCUUUCCACACUAAGCAAUUCAUCUUUUACCAGUCUUAAUCUCUGCCUCAAGUGAUUUCUAGAGGAACAGAAUGGGCUACAGGUGAAUGCUAGGUAUUUUGCCUUUGGCUUAGUGGAGUGCCAAAUACAUGCCCAGUUCUUUUUUUCCUCAGUUCUCUUGCUGAGUACCAUUGUCACACAGGGUGCUGCCAUGAUAUGGUCCCAGCCAGAGUGAACUUCUGUCUUUUAGUUUUCAGUGGCACUGAGAAGAAAAGAGGAAGCAAAUAAUGCUCAAUUCUUUUGUAAGCCCAUGGGUUGGUUUGUGCAGACUUGCCAGAGCAUGGUAGGUAAUAGGAGGAGUGGUGAGAGUAAGUGGGUUCAGAAUGAAAAGAAUUGGAUCUUCUGCUGUUAGUUCAGUUGCUUUUCAUAUAAUUAGGGCUUUUGGUAUCCUAGACCUUGGAGACAACUAGAAUUGCUUUAUUUCUUGUGCAUAAUUACUAUUUAAGAUAAUUUUGGGUUUGUCAAGAUUGGAGAAAAGCAUAAUCUUUUAAUUUGUUUACCUAACAAUAUUACUAACAAUAUUGCAUCUCAUCACUGAAUAAAGUCUAUUAGGAAAUAAAUUGAAACUAUCUU
This is a long non-coding RNA of Monodelphis domestica (gray short-tailed opossum), 1590 nucleotides long. NCBI's taxonomy places the organism in Eukaryota, Metazoa, Chordata, Mammalia, Didelphimorphia, Didelphidae. The record is from Ensembl.